This 159-nucleotide small nuclear RNA is filed under the name Canis lupus familiaris (dog). Its description in RNAcentral is "U4 spliceosomal RNA (ENSCAFG00030008976.1, ENSCAFG00040017462.1, ENSCAFG00805018284.1, ENSCAFG00845019884.1)". It matches the Rfam family "U4 spliceosomal RNA". From Rfam's summary of the family: U4 small nuclear RNA (U4 snRNA) is a component of the major U2-dependent spliceosome. The structure of U4 snRNA from yeast and human has been reported. Lineage: Eukaryota; Metazoa; Chordata; Mammalia; Carnivora; Canidae. RNAcentral also lists the same sequence under 1 other name. The record is from Rfam by way of RNAcentral.
AGCUUUGCGCAGUGGCAGUAUCGUAGCCAACGAGGUUUAUCCGAGGUGCGAUUAUUGCUAAUUGAAAAUAUUCACAUCAAGCCAUGUUGAAUUUGGGGUGCUGAAUGACUAUUAUUACUUAACCUCAUUUUAUUUUAUUUUUUAAUUUAAAUUCAAUUU